This 255-nucleotide ribosomal RNA is filed under the name uncultured bacterium. RNAcentral's name for it is "partial 16S ribosomal RNA". It matches the Rfam family "Bacterial small subunit ribosomal RNA", at positions 524 to 776 of the family's 1533-position model. The record is from RNAcentral.
UACGGGGGGUGCGAGCGUUGUCCGGAAUCACUGGGCGUAAAGGGCGCGUAGGUGGUGUCGUAAGUCUGUGGUGAAAGCCCGGGGCGUCAACCCGGGUCCGUGCCGCGGAGACUGCGAGACUCGAGUACUGUAGGGGCUGGUAGAAUGCCGGGUGUAGCGGUGGAAUGCGUAGAGAUCCGGCGGAAGACCGGUGGCGAAGGCGGCCAGCUGGGCAGUGACUGACACUGAGGCGCGACAGCGUGGGGAGCAAACAGG